Molecule: unclassified non-coding RNA, 307 nt
Filed under: plant metagenome
Description: partial contains 5.8S ribosomal RNA, internal transcribed spacer 2, and large subunit ribosomal RNA
Rfam family: 5.8S ribosomal RNA (bases 1-105)
Source: RNAcentral
GAAAUGCGAUAAGUAGUGUGAAUUGCAGAAUUCAGUGAAUCAUCGAAUCUUUGAACGCACAUUGCGCCCCUUGGUAUUCCAUGGGGCAUGCCUGUUCGAGCGUCAUUUCAACCCUCAGAACCCCUUGCGGGAUCUGGCGUUGGGGAUUGGCAUCCAGCCAGCCCCGAAAUCUAGUGGCUGUCCCUCCGCGACCUCCCCUGUGCAGUAGCGAUACCUCGCAGCGGGACAGCGGUCUGACCACGCCGUAAAACCCCCAACUUCUCAAGGUUGACCUCGAAUCAGGUAGGAAUACCCGCUGAACUUAAGC